UUAGGGGAUUGAUGGGGAAGGCCGACACAGGAAGCGACCUCUGGGUGCGCGGAUGUCGUGAGGUUAGGUUCACCAUGCAUGGUUAAAGAACUCGAAUCGAUUCGUCUGCCUCUCACAGUUUGAGACUGCUUGAUCACUAUGUCACCCUGAGUAAAUGAGGAAUCUGAUGAUGACAUGGUUUUGGUUAUAUAUACAUACCUUGGUUGGUUUUAUGAUUGCUUAGAAUAGGUUGCAAAACCUAGACCGGUUAAUGAACUUGGAAUCGGAGCUAAAACUUGAAAAUAGGGUUUUAUUUAGUGCUUUUGGCAAACAAAAUCUUCAGCCAAAAAGCCUUGCAUGUCUAGAAGUGUGGAGUAGCUUUACUCCUG
This 368-nucleotide long non-coding RNA is filed under the name Setaria viridis. RNAcentral's name for it is "long non-coding RNA (SVIR_LNC005540)". Lineage: Eukaryota; Viridiplantae; Streptophyta; Magnoliopsida; Poales; Poaceae. The record is from RNAcentral.